CCUACGGGAGGCAGCAGUAGGGAAUCUUCCACAAUGGGCGAAAGUCUGAUGGAGCAACGCCGCGUGGGUGAAGAAGGUCUUCGGAUCGUAAAACCCUGUUGUUAGAGAAGAAAGUGCGUGAGAGUAACUGAGCACGUUGCGACGGUAUCUAACCAGAAAGCCACGGCUAACUACGUGCCAGCAGCCGCGGUAAUACGUAGGUGGCAAGCGUUAUCCGGAUUUAUUGGGCGUAAAGGGAACGCAGGCGGUUUUUUAAGUCUGAUGUGAAAGCCUUCGGCUUAACCGGGGUAGUGCAUUGGAAACUGGGAGACUUGAGUGCAGAAGAGGAGAGUGGAACUCCAUGUGUAGCGGUGACAUGCGUAGAUAUAUGGAAGAACACCAGUGGCGAAAGCGGCUCUCUGGUCUGUAACUGACGCUGAGGUUCGAAAGCGUGGGUAGCAAACAGGAUUAGAUACCCCUGUAGUC
Molecule: ribosomal RNA, 465 nt
Filed under: uncultured bacterium
Lineage: Bacteria
Description: partial 16S ribosomal RNA
Rfam family: Bacterial small subunit ribosomal RNA
Source: RNAcentral